Molecule: long non-coding RNA, 616 nt
Filed under: Durio zibethinus
Lineage: Eukaryota; Viridiplantae; Streptophyta; Magnoliopsida; Malvales; Malvaceae
Description: long non-coding RNA (DZIB_LNC002141)
Source: RNAcentral
GUAAUGAAAAUGGAAGGGAACAUAGGUACAGGGGGAAUUUCAUGGAGCAGAGACUGAUUAAAAAACGUUAGCCACCUCUACCCCUAUCACCAACAGCUCCUGUCACUUGCCUCGAACUACCAACGAAACAAACAAGAAUCAUAUCCAAGAAUCACUCAGCACUGCUGGGACUCCAAACCCCGAAAAACAAGCCUACACUAUCAUCUCUACCAAACCCGAUACCAUCCUCCAUCAACACCCCCAACCUGAACUGCCACACCUUACUGCCAUACCCGCCACCUCCAACAGCCCCAUAUGCAACCACUACCAUCAUCUAAACCUAUCAGCCUAACCGAAAUCCCUUCGGCACUUACCAAUCGCACACUCAAACACAUUCCUUCCUUCCACCGAAAAUCACCAAACUACCUGAACUUCUAAUCCACACCAAUGAGGACCAUCUUCAGCAGCCACCAGCACCCUCCACUCCCUUCAUUAGCACCCUAUAGCCGAACAGCCCAUCCACACCAACCCAACACCCAGACUCAACCUGAGAACAUCCCUUUCCAUAAACCAGACACUGCCCCCGAGAAAAAAAGAAAAAACCCCAUUGCCCUACCCACUGCCCUCCGCAAAGCCC